GAAAGUGAACUUGAUUGGAGAGCAC
This 25-nucleotide unclassified non-coding RNA is filed under the name Dictyostelium discoideum. The record is from RNAcentral. Lineage: Eukaryota; Evosea; Eumycetozoa; Dictyosteliales; Dictyosteliaceae.